CCUACGGGUGGCUGCAGUGGGGAAUAUUGGACAAUGGGGGCAACCCUGAUCCAGCCAUGCCGCGUGUGUGAAGAAGGCCCUCGGGUUGUAAAGCACUUUCAGUGAGGAAGAACGCCUGGUGGUUAAUACCCAUCAGGAAAGACAUCACUCACAGAAGAAGCACCGGCUAACUCCGUGCCAGCAGCCGCGGUAAUACGGAGGGUGCGAGCGUUAAUCGGAAUUACUGGUCGUAAAGCGCGCGUAGGUGGCUUGAUAAGCCGGUUGUGAAAGCCCCGGGCUCAACCUGGGAACGGCAUCCGGAACUGUCAAGCUAGAGUGCAGGAGAGGAAGGUAGAAUUCCCGGUGUAGCGGUGAAAUGCGUAGAGAUCGGGAGGAAUACCAGUGGCGAAGGCGGCCUUCUGGACUGACACUGACACUGAGGUGCGAAAGCGUGGGUAGCAAACAGGAUUAGAUACCCUAGUAGUC
This 465-nucleotide ribosomal RNA is filed under the name Vreelandella stevensii. RNAcentral's name for it is "partial 16S ribosomal RNA". It matches the Rfam family "Bacterial small subunit ribosomal RNA", at positions 338 to 795 of the family's 1533-position model. The record is from RNAcentral. Lineage: Bacteria; Pseudomonadati; Pseudomonadota; Gammaproteobacteria; Oceanospirillales; Halomonadaceae.